This 426-nucleotide ribosomal RNA is filed under the name uncultured bacterium. RNAcentral's name for it is "partial 16S ribosomal RNA". It matches the Rfam family "Bacterial small subunit ribosomal RNA", at positions 354 to 796 of the family's 1533-position model. The record is from RNAcentral.
GUGAGGAAUUUUCCGCAAUGGGCGAAAGCCUGACGGAGCAAUGCCGCGUGAAGGAUGAAGGCCUAUGGGUUGUAAACUUCUUUUCUCAGAAAAGAAUUAUGACGGUAUCUGAGGAAUAAGCAUCGACUAACUCUGUGCCAGCAGCCGCGGUAAGACAGAGGAUGCAAGCGUUAUCCGGAAUGAUUGGGCGUAAAGCGUCUGUAGGUUGUUUAAAAAGUAUUCUGUCAAAGAUUAGGGCUUAACCCUAGAUAGGCAGAAUAAACUUUUAAGCUAGAGUUUGGUAGAGGCAGAGGGAAUUCCCGGUGGAGCGGUGAAAUGCGUAGAUAUCGGGAGGAACACCAAAGGCGAAGGCACUCUGCUGGGCCAAUACUAACACUGAGAGACGAAAGCGAGGGGAGCAAAUGGGAUUAGAUACCCCAGUAGUCC